Molecule: long non-coding RNA, 1582 nt
Organism: Lepidothrix coronata (blue-crowned manakin)
Lineage: Eukaryota; Metazoa; Chordata; Aves; Passeriformes; Pipridae
Exons: 3
Source: RefSeq, a predicted model, not a curated record
CUGCUGGCUUUGCGUAUCAAACUGCAGAAGUGACAAAAAGAAUUAGGUGAUAUCAGAUGAAACUAAUGGAUGGCAGUUACAAACAAAAGUCUUCAGAUGAUGGAUAAGUAAUCUGGAAAACAGCCAAAGGGGACUGAAGACAACAAAUGCUUGUAAGGAUUGAAAAAGUAAUUUGAUUUUUCCUCCAAGGAUUUGUUCAUUGAGGGCUACUAAACACAAGGAUGCAUACUCUGAGGCUUCCAUAACCAUGGACCUUACCAGUUCAGAGCACAACAUCCAUACUUAGUCCUGUACUUCUAGUAAAGUCAACUUAGAUAUGAGGUGCAUGUUUCCAUGCUGAAGAACUCUCUACCCAUCUUUUAAGUGCACAUGGAUUAAUCUCAUCAAUUGCUCAGUCUGGAUUUGAUUGAACACCAACACAUUUGUUCAUCCGCUGGAUGAGGAAUCCUUUGACCGGGUUUUGACCUGAAAUCUGACACAAAUCUGUUUGUUUACUUAUCUGAAGCUGAUUAAUGUCAUUAUUGAUUGCUGCAGUUUGUUUACUGCAGCUACAAUGUCACAGGUUAAUUCUACUUGCUGUGGUCUUAACACCGUAUCUCCUAAAUUAUUGACUUUUGUGCAUGCUACUCCUUCAUUUGUUUUCUCACAGUAAUAAAUCUUCAACUUUGUCUAAAAAUAAACAACACAGCACUGCUUAAGUGACUUAAAUGUCAAUCCAAGGGAAAAAGCUUGCAUCAAAUCUUUACACCAAAUAAUGUUACUAUCUAGUAUCCUUAGUACCGUUUGCUUCAAAAGUUGUAGUUUAGUUUAUGACAAAGGGUUACCUUUCAUGAUACUUACAUGACUCUUGUAAUAGAAAAGCCUAGUCAAGUUUUCCAAAGUUCUCAAAAAAACCCCUCCAACCUGAUAAACAACUUCUGUUUCAUUUGAGUAUUUCUUGAUAUUCAUGAUGACCCCAUGAUAGGAAACUUUCUGCUCUAUAAGUGUCCUGUCAUAAAGCUUGUUACAUUCAAGACCCAUAUUAUGGGGGCAGGCAAACAUACCUCUUGGAGCUGAUAUCACUAAGCUAAGACAAUCCUGCCCUAAACAAAGCUUGAUUCUGCACUUUUGUAAAAUCCUAUUUUUAUUUCAAUUGAAGUUUUAAGGGGUGAAGAAAAAAAAACAUCAAAAUUUGCAAUUAAAUCCAGAGAACUGUGGGAACCUCCAUCCCCACAAUUAAAUAUCAUCAUUCAAUAGUAGAACAACACUGUUUGAUAUUUGAUCACCCAAUGCUUAAUGUAAAAACUAUAGAACUUUUUUAGGCCACAAAACUAAAUAGUCCUUAUUUUUAAAUUGUUCUUGAAGAAAUAAAUGUUGUCAGCCAAUUAGGUACUUAAAACAUUCAACAGUUCUAGUGUGAAUAUGACAAAGUAUUAUAACCUUUUUUUCAAUACAACUGUGUUAUUUUGAGAUUUUUCAGACAUUUUGUUUCUGUCCUUAAGGGAAACUAAGCAUCUUACUGUACUUGUAGAUAAUAUAUGGAAGACUGAUGCAUAUAUGUCAUGAACAUCACUGCUUUUAAAUGCCAUUCUGAUUUCUUUAU